CCACCUGAUCCCAUGCCGAACUCAGUAGUGAAACGUAAUAGCGCCGAUGGUAGUGUGGGGCUUCCCCAUGUGAGAGUAGGACAUCGCCAGGC
Molecule: ribosomal RNA, 92 nt
Filed under: Photobacterium jeanii
Lineage: Bacteria; Pseudomonadati; Pseudomonadota; Gammaproteobacteria; Vibrionales; Vibrionaceae
Source: RNAcentral